UGGGGAAUAUUGCACAAUGGGCGAAAGCCUGAUGCAGCAACGCCGCGUGAGUGAUGAAGGUCUUCGGAUUGUAAAGCUCUGUCUUUUGGGACGAUAAUGACGGUACCAAAGGAGGAAGCCACGGCUAACUACGUGCCAGCAGCCGCGGUAAUACGUGGGUGGCGAGCGUUGUCCGGAUUUACUGGGCGUAAAGGGUGCGUAGGCGGAUGUUUAAGUGAGAUGUGAAAUACCCCGGGCUUAACUUGGGUGCUGCAUUU
This 257-nucleotide ribosomal RNA is filed under the name uncultured bacterium. RNAcentral describes it as "partial 16S ribosomal RNA". It matches the Rfam family "Bacterial small subunit ribosomal RNA", at positions 355 to 628 of the family's 1533-position model. The record is from RNAcentral.